GAUGAAGAACGUAGCGAAAUGCGAUAAGUAGUGUGAAUUGCAGAAUUCAGUGAAUCAUCGAAUCUUUGAACGCACAUUGCGCCCCUCGGUAUUCCGUGGGGCAUGCCUGUUCGAGCGUCAUUUAACCCCUCAAGCCUAGCUUGGUAUUGGGUGCUUGUCCCGCCUCUCGCGCGGCGACUCACCUCAAAGUCAUUGGCAGCUCGCAUCUCGCCGGCCGUGAGCGCAGCACAGACGCGCUCUUGGCAACGACGGAUCGGCUCUCCAAAAGCUUAUUUCAACCACUGACCUCGGAUCAGGUAGGGAUACCCGCUGAACUUAAGCAUAUCAAUAAGCGGAGGA
RNAcentral lists this unclassified non-coding RNA (339 nucleotides) under soil metagenome. RNAcentral describes it as "partial contains 5.8S ribosomal RNA, internal transcribed spacer 2, and large subunit ribosomal RNA". The stretch from base 1 to 120 matches the Rfam family "5.8S ribosomal RNA", at positions 35 to 154 of the family's 154-position model. The record is from RNAcentral.